Molecule: non-coding RNA, 1257 nt
Organism: Microcebus murinus (gray mouse lemur)
Lineage: Eukaryota; Metazoa; Chordata; Mammalia; Primates; Cheirogaleidae
Source: RefSeq, a predicted model, not a curated record
AAUUGAUAGAAAGGGGGCACUUGGCAACUGACUGGGGGGGGGGGAGGAACAGAGGUGAGAAAGUGCAUCGCGUGGCCCAGGGGGCUCUCAGGGUACCUGACUUGAGCCACAGGAGGCAUCAUUCAUAAAGGGAAGUCAAAAGCAGGCCCUGACCAGAGUGAAGAACAGUUCUAACCAGUCUCAUUUCCCUUAUUAACAGUAACAGCCGACAUGAACUUGGAAUCUCACAGACUCAGCUGAGCAUGAGGGAAGACCUGGCAGGGCGGGGGAGGGGGCCACAUGAAUUCUGAAUAACCCAUCCCAUGCUUGUGUAAGCACCAGCAAAACACGGUGCCAUGGGAGUGCAGCUCAGCACUCAGAUAAUGAGGGCUGCCCUAAGGCUCCAGCUUCUGCUUAAAAUGCAGACAGUCCAAGAGAAGGGACAGUUACAGUGAGAGAAAAGGCUUUCACUACCCCCAGUGGGGACUCCAAGCCAGCCAGGUGGCUCAGCCCUGCAGAAAGCCAGGAGCCUGAGUACCCAACCCUGUUAUCUCCCCCUCCACCCCACCGCCCCACCCCUCCUGUUCCCGGGCCUAUGGAAGGACAAGCUGUUCCCACUGAGCCCUGCCAGGGCUGUGCUUUAACCCCUACAAUCCUUCCUAAUCCUCCUCCGCUCCACCCCUCCAGCUGCUCCCUCCCCAGCCCUGGCAUUCUGCCCACUGGCCUCAGCCCAGCCCUCACUCUGCCCUGCCCAGGCCACCCUCUCCUCUCCCCAGGAACAGCCAGGGUUGGCCCAGAGCCCUCCAGAUCACAGCAAGCUGGGCACCUGCACUUCGGAGGGAGAGCCAGGGACCCGGCCCAGAGUCUAGCCCAGCCUAUUCUUCCCCUCCCGGCUCUUCCACACCCUUGCUCUCUGCUCUAGGAUCUACCAGGCUUCUAGGAGCCGAGAGUCUGGGAACCUGAGUAUCUGGGUCCUACUUGCCACUGGGGCUGCUGACUCAUCUUCUGAAGCCUUGGGUUCCAGCUGUUCAGUGACAGGGAGAUUACAUAAGCCGAGGUCACGUGAUUUUUCUCUCAGGAUGUCUCCAUGAGUUAAUGUGGUGCUGGCGUGGGGCUCAGCAAUGCAGAAGUUAAUCCAAGCCUGGCAAAAUGUUCCUUGCCCCUGGGGGAGCCGCUCCACUGACCACCGGCUUCAGAGAUGAACAUCAUGUUCAGAGCCCAGAACUAAACACGUGGCCCCUUGCACCCUCUUACCUCAAUGCAUACAUAAAACCAGCA